GGAGAGUUUGAUCCUGGCUCAGAGUGAACGCUGGCGGCGUGCCUAAUACAUGCAAGUCGAACGAUGAAGUCUCUAGCUUGCUAGAGAUGGAUUAGUGGCGCACGGGUGAGUAAUGCAUAGGUAACAUGCCCUUUAGUCUAGGAUAGCCACUGGAAACGGUGAUUAAUACUGGAUAUUCCCUAUGGGGGAAAGAGGCUUUCAGUUAAGAAUUCAUCUUGUGGCAGAUUUUGAGAGAGUGAGAACAUUGCUUCAGUGCGGCGUAUGCCAAAUAUGUCUCAUUUGCAAUGCCCUCACAACUUUCAAAAUCUCCUCAAAAUCCUGCAAUUCUCGCACACGAUUAGGUUGUGCGAAAAUUCUAGGAUUUAUCGUCCAAAGCCGAAUUUUUAACUGAAAGCUUUCGCUAAAGGAUUGGCCUAUGUCCUAUCAGCUUGUUGGUGAGGUAAUGGCUCACCAAGGCUAUGACGGGUAUCCGGCCUGAGAGGGUGAACGGACACACUGGAACUGAGACACGGUCCAGACUCCUACGGGAGGCAGCAGUAGGGAAUAUUGCUCAAUGGGGGAAACCCUGAAGCAGCAACGCCGCGUGGAGGAUGAAGGUUUUCGGAUUGUAAACUCCUUUUGUUAGAGAAGAUAAUGACGGUAUCUAACGAAUAAGCACCGGCUAACUCCGUGCCAGCAGCCGCGGUAAUACGGAGGGUGCAAGCGUUACUCGGAAUCACUGGGCGUAAAGAGUGCGUAGGCGGGGUCAUAAGUCAGAUGUGAAAUCCUAUGGCUUAACCAUAGAACUGCAUUUGAAACUGUGACUCUAGAGUAUGGGAGAGGUAGGUGGAAUUCUUGGUGUAGGGGUAAAAUCCGUAGAGAUCAAGAGGAAUACUCAUUGCGAAGGCGACCUACUGGAACAUUACUGACGCUGAUGCACGAAAGCGUGGGGAGCAAACAGGAUUAGAUACCCUGGUAGUCCACGCCCUAAACGAUGAAUGCUAGUUGUUGCCCUGCUUGUCAGGGCAGUAAUGCAGCUAACGCAUUAAGCAUUCCGCCUGGGGAGUACGGUCGCAAGAUUAAAACUCAAAGGAAUAGACGGGGACCCGCACAAGCGGUGGAGCAUGUGGUUUAAUUCGAAGAUACGCGAAGAACCUUACCUAGGCUUGACAUUGAUAGAAUCUGCUAGAGAUAGCGGAGUGCCCUUUUAGGGAGCUUGAAAACAGGUGCUGCACGGCUGUCGUCAGCUCGUGUCGUGAGAUGUUGGGUUAAGUCCCGCAACGAGCGCAACCCUCGUCCUUAGUUGCUAGCAGCUUGGCUGAGCACUCUAAGGAGACUGCCUUCGUAAGGAGGAGGAAGGUGAGGACGACGUCAAGUCAUCAUGGCCCUUACGCCUAGGGCUACACACGUGCUACAAUGGGGUGCACAAAGAGGAGCAAUACCGCGAGGUGGAGCAAAUCUCUAAAACAUCUCUCAGUUCGGAUUGUAGUCUGCAACUCGACUACAUGAAGCUGGAAUCGCUAGUAAUCGCAAAUCAGCCAUGUUGCGGUGAAUACGUUCCCGGGUCUUGUACUCACCGCCCGUCACACCAUGGGAGUUGUAUUCGCCUUAAGUCGGGAUACUAAAUAGGUUACCGCCCACGGCGGAUGCAGCGACUGGGGUGAAGUCGUAACAAGGUAACCGUAGGUGAACCUGCGGUUGGAUCACCUCCUUUC
RNAcentral lists this ribosomal RNA (1694 nucleotides) under Helicobacter sp. MIT 14-3879. Its description in RNAcentral is "bacterial SSU rRNA". It matches the Rfam family "Bacterial small subunit ribosomal RNA". The record is from RNAcentral. Lineage: Bacteria; Pseudomonadati; Campylobacterota; Epsilonproteobacteria; Campylobacterales; Helicobacteraceae.